RNAcentral lists this ribosomal RNA (472 nucleotides) under uncultured bacterium. RNAcentral describes it as "bacterial SSU rRNA". It matches the Rfam family "Bacterial small subunit ribosomal RNA", at positions 8 to 500 of the family's 1533-position model. The record is from RNAcentral.
AGAGUUUGAUCCUGGCUCAGGACAAACGCUGGCGGCGUGCAUAAAACAUGCAAGUCGAACGGGCAGCCGUAAGGCUGUCAGUGGCGGACGGCUGAGUAACACGUAAGUGACCUACCCCCGAGUGGGGAAUAACUGCUCGAAAGAGUGGCUAAUACCGCAUAGGUUCCCCUGUUCGGUCAGGGGAGUAAAGCAGCGAUGCGCUUGGGGAUGGGCUUGCGGCCGAUUAGCUAGUUGGUGAGGUAACGGCCCACCAAGGCGAUGAUCGGUAGCUGGUCUGAGAGGAUGAUCAGCCAGACUGGGACUGCGACACGGCCCAGACUACCUACGGGAGGCAGCAGUUAGGAAUUUUGUCGCAAUGGACGAAUAGUCUGACGCAUGCAACGCCCGCGUGGGGGAUGAAGGUCUUCGGAUGNGUAAACCUCUUUUACCGGGGAAGAUGAUGACGGUACCCGGCGAAUAAGNCCCCGGCCAA